Molecule: ribosomal RNA, 492 nt
Filed under: uncultured bacterium
Lineage: Bacteria
Description: partial 16S ribosomal RNA
Rfam family: Bacterial small subunit ribosomal RNA
Source: RNAcentral
GAUGAACGCUAGCUACAGGCUUAACACAUGCAAGUCGAGGGGAAACGACAUCGAAAGCUUGCUUUUGAUGGGCGUCGACCGGCGCACGGGUGAGUAACGCGUAUCCAACCUGCCCAUCACUUGGGGAUAACCUUGCGAAAGUAAGACUAAUACCCAAUGAUAUCUCUAGAAGACAUCUGAAAGAGAUUAAAGAUUUAUCGGUGAUGGAUGGGGAUGCGUCUGAUUAGCUUGUUGGCGGGGUAACGGCCCACCAAGGCAACGAUCAGUAGGGGUUCUGAGAGGAAGGUCCCCCACAUUGGAACUGAGACACGGUCCACACUCCUACGGGAGGCAGCAGUGAGGAAUAUUGGUCAACGGACGAGGGCCUGAACCAGCCAAGUAGCGUACAGGAAGACGGCCCUAUGGGUUGUAAACUGCUUUUAUAAGAGAAUAGAGUGAGAGUCGUGACUCUUUUUGUAUGUACCUUAUGAAUAAGGACCGGCUAAUUCCGUG